GCCUGGGUGGCUCAGUUGGUUGAGUGUCCGACUUUGGCUCAGGUCAUCAUCUCACGGUUUGUGGGUUUGAGCCCCGCCUCUGGCU
RNAcentral lists this transfer RNA (85 nucleotides) under Felis catus (domestic cat). It matches the Rfam family "tRNA". Rfam says of the family: Transfer RNA (tRNA) molecules are approximately 80 nucleotides in length. Their secondary structure includes four short double-helical elements and three loops (D, anti-codon, and T loops). Further hydrogen bonds mediate the characteristic L-shaped molecular structure. tRNAs have two regions of fundamental functional importance: the anti-codon, which is responsible for specific mRNA codon recognition, and the 3' end, to which the tRNAs corresponding amino acid is attached (by aminoacyl-tRNA synthetases). tRNAs cope with the degeneracy of the genetic code in two manners: having more than one tRNA (with a specific anti-codon) for a particular amino acid; and 'wobble' base-pairing, i.e. permitting non-standard base-pairing at the 3rd anti-codon position. The record is from Rfam by way of RNAcentral. Lineage: Eukaryota; Metazoa; Chordata; Mammalia; Carnivora; Felidae.